AACGAACGCUGGCGGCAUGCCUAACACAUGCAGGUCGAACGAGACCUUCGGGUCUAGUGGCGCACGGGUGCGUAACGCGUGGGAUGCGGCCCUCGGGUCGGACUUACCAGUAGGAAUGGGCUACCAUAACGGAACGUGAACUAAUGCCAAAGAUUUUAUGGCCAAGGAUGGGUCCGUGGAGGAUUAGGUUGUUGGUGAGGUUAAGGGCCAACACCGCGACGCAUCUUAGCUUGGCUGAGAGGAUGAUCAGCCACACUGGGAAUGAGACACGGCCCAGACUCCUACGGGAGGCAGCAGUGGGGAAUAGUGGAAAAUGGGCGAAAGCCUGAUCCAGCAAUGCCGGGUGAGUGAUGAAGGCAUUAGGGUUGUAAAGCUCUUUUACCCGGGAUGAUAAUGACAGUACCGGGAGAAUAAGCUCCGGCUAACUCCGUG
Molecule: ribosomal RNA, 432 nt
Filed under: uncultured bacterium
Lineage: Bacteria
Description: partial 16S ribosomal RNA
Rfam family: Bacterial small subunit ribosomal RNA
Source: RNAcentral